CAAGCCUCAAUAGGAGAGUUCCUACACUAGCCAUUAGAUAUGCUGAUAUCAGCCAAGGAUCUCCAGUAAGACAGGAUGGGGUAUUUUAUAAACCCUUUCACAUUUAACCCUUUAUAGGGCUUCUACACAUACAAUAAACUUUGUUGGUAUCAGACAAAGUGUAAACAUCCCUAAUGAGACAUGAAGGGGUGUUUUAUAAACCCCUACAUACUUAACCCUGAAUAGGGCUAUAACACAUACAAAUCACCUCCAUUUUGUUUAAAU
Non-coding RNA from Pelobates cultripes (western spadefoot toad), 264 nucleotides. The record is from the annotation of a GenBank genome assembly. NCBI's taxonomy places the organism in Eukaryota, Metazoa, Chordata, Amphibia, Anura, Pelobatidae.